Molecule: long non-coding RNA, 984 nt
Organism: Malaclemys terrapin pileata
Lineage: Eukaryota; Metazoa; Chordata; Testudines; Emydidae
Exons: 4
Source: RefSeq, a predicted model, not a curated record
UCUCCUCCUGAAGUAUUAAUUAGGUAAAAAUUAGUAGCCACACACCCAGACUUGUGACUCCUUUGAAGAAAAAGAGUAUAGAAAUCAAGCAAAUGAAAUUACUCUUGGGGAAUUUCUUAUUGACGCUUAAAGAAGCAACACUGCUACACAGAGUAGCCAAAACUCUGCUCGGUGCACUCGAGUAGGACUGUGAGCCAGAGGGGUCUCCAGGCAGCCAGGGCCUGGCCUCGAGACAGACCAGAGGGCUGAGGAGACCGGACCCGGAGAGAAGAAGUCGUCUAUAGAAUUUGUAAAAAUCACAGCCAAGAAAUCCAGCUCUUUGGAACACACUGGAGUGAGAAAGAUCUAAAGCAGCUCCAAGCAAACUGGGAUGUUACUGUUAGAGAGAUCAGUUUUACGAAGGUCUGUCACUCCUGCCAAAAAAAUAGAGAAGCCCAUCAUCCAACCUCUGGGUAGCAACACAGCCAGCGCGAUCCAGAGUGAGGCUGCAGCUUCAACAUUCGCUCUGGGACAUGACUCUCUUCCCAGCAUGCAACCUGCUUGACAGCUAUCCACAGAACAGCAGCCCUACAUGUCCAAGUCCAAAAUCUGUGAUAGUGAAAAUAGGUGCUGCUCCACUGACUGUAAGAGUCGCAGCAACAUUAAAUCUGGUCUCCAGCAUUUGUUUAUACAGAUUCUGAACAAACAGGAAAAUGAAGGUGAAGAUGACUGAGUUAGCUGCAGAAGCCAAUAUUUUAAAUUUCUCAUGUUGACCUGACUGACAGAAUCGAUUUAAUUUUUGUUUUGUUUUUUAAAUACUUCAUUUAACUAUUUUAGUUAAAAACAAUUUUAACAAAAACAAACAUGAUUUUAAAAAACUUGAAUGUUUAACUAAAUUAAAAAUUUAUAUGCUUGUUUUGUUAAAAUAUUAUGUUUGCUGUUGAAGAAAAAAAAUCCAGAAUACAUAACAUUGUUGUUUUAGUUAAAUAAAACAGUUUAAAUGUC